CAGUCGCCGCGGGAAUACAGAGGGUGCGAGCGUUAAUCGGAUUUACUGGGCGUAAAGCGUGCGUAGGCGGCUAAUUGAGUCGGAUGUGAAAUCCCCGAGCUUAACUUGGGAAUUGCAUUCGAUACUGGUUAGCUAGAGUGUGGGAGAGGAUGGUAGAAUUCCAGGUGUAGCGGUGAAAUGCGUAGAGAUCUGGAGGAAUACCGAUGGCGAAGGCAGCCAUCUGGCCUAAUACUGACGCUGAGGUACGAAAGCAUGGGGAGCAAACAGGAUUAGAUACCCCUGUAGUCCCUGUCUCUUAUAC
Molecule: ribosomal RNA, 301 nt
Filed under: uncultured bacterium
Lineage: Bacteria
Description: partial 16S ribosomal RNA
Rfam family: Bacterial small subunit ribosomal RNA
Source: RNAcentral